Molecule: ribosomal RNA, 484 nt
Filed under: uncultured bacterium
Lineage: Bacteria
Description: partial 16S ribosomal RNA
Rfam family: Bacterial small subunit ribosomal RNA
Source: RNAcentral
AUUGAACGCUGGCGGCAGGCCUAACACAUGCAAGUCGAGCGGAUGAAGGGAGCUGGCUCCUGGAUUCAGCGGCGGACGGGUGAGUAAUGCCUAGGAAUCUGCCUGGUAGGGGGGGAUAACGUCCGGAAACGGGCGCUAAUACCGCAUACGUCCUGAGGGAGAAAGUGGGGGAUCUUCGGACCUCACGCUAUCAGAUGAGCCUAGGUCGGAUUAGCUAGUUGGUGGGGUAAAGGCCUACCAAGGCGACGAUCCGUAACUGGUCUGAGAGGAUGAUCAGUCACACUGGAACUGAGACACGGUCCAGACUCCUACGGGAGGCAGCAGUGGGGAAUAUUGGACAAUGGGCGAAAGCCUGAUCCAGCCAUGCCGCGUGUGUGAAGAAGGUCUUCGGAUUGUAAAGCACUUUAAGUUGGGAGGAAGGGCAGUAAGUUAAUACCUUGCUGUUUUGACGUUACCAACAGAAUAAGCACCGGCUAACUUCGUG